Molecule: non-coding RNA, 62 nt
Organism: Arabis alpina (gray rockcress)
Lineage: Eukaryota; Viridiplantae; Streptophyta; Magnoliopsida; Brassicales; Brassicaceae
Source: Rfam
GUGCUUGGGCGAGAGUAGUACUAGGAUGGGUGACCUCCUAGGAAGUCCUCGUGUUGCACCCC